UUCAAAUAGCCAGAUAAGGAAGGAUCUGGUACAAUCAGACGAUCAUCCUCGUUUUGUCUUUUCCGAUAGGCUUCAUCAAGCGAAGGUCUUCCAAUUGAUUCUUUAGUUGAGUCUUAAAAGUGACUUUGACUGACGUCAACUCCAACCAUCGUCAGAAGAUAGGAGAGAGCUUCGAUCUCUUUCCGUCAUCCCAGAGCAGAGGAAAUCAUCUUAGAAAUAGAAACCUGGGCUAGACAAAACAAAGGUACUCCGAGGGCUAGCUAAUGACAGAGCAGAGUACCUCCUCGUUAAAUGGAAAGCGAUCCCGUUCCUUACAUUACUAGGCUUAAAAAUGGGCAACGUUCCAAGGGCCGCAAAGUAGACUACUCAUAGAGGUCUCUCAAAUGUUAGGGGGUGAAACGCAAGAGAUCCGAAAAGGGGGGAAAAGAGCUCUGUACUCGAGGGUGAGAAACCAAUGAAAUAGGUUGUCCCUAAAGCAGAACUUCAUUUCAAUAAAGAAAAGGAGUCAAAAGAUCAUGUGCAAGAGCAGCUAGGAACAGUGUCCUCAGGCUUUCUUCGGAAUAAGAUAGAUCAGAAGCAGCAACUGUCUUUGUCUGUACAUCUAAAAAUUCCCUUAUCUUAGUUACUCCUAUUUUUGGGCUGG
This 643-nucleotide long non-coding RNA is filed under the name Actinidia chinensis (golden kiwifruit). RNAcentral describes it as "long non-coding RNA (ACHI_LNC000097)". Lineage: Eukaryota; Viridiplantae; Streptophyta; Magnoliopsida; Ericales; Actinidiaceae. The record is from RNAcentral.